UGAAGUUGCUGCCUAUUGGCCAUUCUGAUGCAGCUCUUCUACCUGCUUGUCAUUAUUUCGGGGUCCUCUUAGGUAAAGACCCAUCACUGAGCAGCACUGAUCGCAGCACAUCUGGAAUCAAUACAGCCAAACUGGUGGCCGCUAUUACACAUCUUAUGAAAGAGUAGAGAAUCUCAGGAUCAAGACAGAGAUGGUAAUCACUGCAAAACACGAAAUCCAGGGGGAGUUGGAUCCAGAUCCUUAUACCCACCUACCCACAUAUCAUCAACAUUCUCAGAUAUUCCUACAACAAAACCCUACCCAGCACCCAGCUCCUGUUUUUUUGAAAAUGCUGGUGGGGAAUAAGUUAAAUAUUUGUAAAAUGUUUAUAACACAUGUGAAAGUGUUUUACAACUUUAUGGUGUACAUAUAAAUGUGUCCAUUGGCUCUUUACAUACUGAUCUUAACAGUCAUUUUUCUGUCAUUUGUCACUCUGUAAAUUUAGAUUCUGCUCUAUUUCUGGAGUCAGAGAGGUCGAGUUCAAGCUGACCAGGUCACAUCACUCAGAGUACACCAGCAGGGAUGGUUGCUAUGGUGAGGGUUAUGGUGGAAGAGAUAUAGGGAAUGAUGGGGAUUUUUUGCUUGCUUUUUUGCUUUGCUUGAAAAGUCAAUUUUCUGAUACACUCAACAGGAAACAAAACAUUUAAAAAAAAAUUGGUGCUUUUAACAUUGUGUAAAUAAAUUGCAAACUGUUCCUGUUUCUAACUGCCCUUGAUUAUGGCCCUUUAAUUAUUAGAGCUCAUAAAACUGAUAUUAACCAGCUAUCUAUAGCCUAUCAGUUGAGCUUUUUUUAUACAGGGUAUAUAUAUUUUUAACACCCUUUUCAGAUUUUUUCAGUGCAUGAUAAUUGACCUUCAAAUAUUACUAACCCUUAGUGCUUCAGCAAGGUGAGUGUGUUAUUGAGUGGAUGAAUUAAAGGAUAUUAUUUUAUUCUACUGGCAACUGAAGAACAAUUAUCCUUUAGAUAGAGACUGGAGGGCAAGGACUGUGUGUGUAACCAUCCAUUAUUCAUCUUAAUCAGAGACUUAAACAUCAGCAUCCAUCAGCACUUAAAAUUAAAUUUGAGAUUAAUCUCCACAAAGGGGGUGGGGGGUGGUGGGGGUUUGAUGUAUACCCUAUAGUUUAAGACAUCAGUUGCAAAUACACACAGAACAAUAUAGUCCUCUUACCAUCAGUGCUUGAGCCCCAAUUAAGCCAAAUCCCAUCUGGACUUUUUUUGUGGACUGUAUUGAACCCUUGACCACAGAUGGAACAUCUUUAUUUGACACUGGAAGCAAUAAAAUGUUAAACACUGAAUUAAAUUAAGCAACAUAAUAAUUAACUUUGGAAAAGAUUCAAAGUUUUUAUUUGGUUUAUAGCCAUGGCCCUUAAUAUCCCACAAAUCUUAGUUCCACUGACCUUAUAUUUUGAAAUCAUGUGCAUGUGAGAAGGCAAUUCACCCUUACAAUCUGACACUUCUUGACAUGUACAGGAAGUUGAGCCA
Molecule: long non-coding RNA, 1522 nt
Organism: Pimephales promelas (fathead minnow)
Lineage: Eukaryota; Metazoa; Chordata; Actinopteri; Cypriniformes; Leuciscidae
Source: RefSeq, a predicted model, not a curated record